CCUACGUGCGGCAGCAGUGGGGAAUAUUGGACAAUGGGGGGAACCCUGAUCCAGCGACGCCGCGUGAGUGAAGAAGUAUUUCGGUAUGUAAAGCUCUAUCAGCAGGGAAGAAAGAAAUGACGGUACCUGACUAAGAAGCCCCGGCUAACUACGUGCCAGCAGCCGCGGUAAUACGUAGGGGGCAAGCGUUAUCCGGAUUUACUGGGUGUAAAGGGGGCGUAGACGGCGAUGCAAGUCUGAAGUGAAAGGCGGGGGCCCAACCCCCGGACUGCUUUGGAAACUGUAUGGCUGGAGUGCAGGAGAGGUAAGUGGAAUUCCUAGUGUAGCGGUGAAAUGCGUAGAUAUUAGGAGGAACACCAGUGGCGAAGGCGGCUUACUGGACUGUAACUGACGUUGAGGCUCGAAAGCGUGGGGAGCAAACAGGAUUAGAUACCCCAGUAGUC
Molecule: ribosomal RNA, 443 nt
Filed under: uncultured bacterium
Lineage: Bacteria
Description: partial 16S ribosomal RNA
Rfam family: Bacterial small subunit ribosomal RNA
Source: RNAcentral